This 325-nucleotide long non-coding RNA is filed under the name Bos indicus x Bos taurus (hybrid cattle). RNAcentral's name for it is "lncRNA (ENSBIXG00005023533.1)". Lineage: Eukaryota; Metazoa; Chordata; Mammalia; Artiodactyla; Bovidae. The record is from RNAcentral.
GUGACUUUUACAGUCUCAAAAAUAUUAAACAUAUAUUAGGAUGGUCACAUCCUCUGAGCUGAAUACUGUUAGAUGUUGCACUUUUAAGAUCCAAUACUCAUUUGGCUCCUUUGUUGUUUCUUUCAGGCUGGUGGAAGAGGUUACUGUCCUACCCUAGCUAACAGCUACUCUUUAUUGAACUCUUCUCAUCUCUACAGCCUCCAUAAAAAUAUAAUUUACCACCUUUUGAGCACCUGCUCUGUGUUAUUUAGACUUUGUGGCAACUCCAUGAGCUUAACCCUGAAGAACAAUGAUAUUUACACCAUCUCUAAUGUGUAUUGACAAG